GACGAACGCUGGCGGCGUGCUUAACACAUGCAAGUCGAACGGAAAGGCCCUGCUUUUGUGGGGUGCUCGAGUGGCGAACGGGUGAGUAACACGUGAGUAACCUGCCCUUGACUUUGGGAUAACUUCAGGAAACUGGGGCUAAUACCGGAUAGGAGCUCCUGCUGCAUGGUGGGGGUUGGAAAGUUUCGGCGGUUGGGGAUGGACUCGCGGCUUAUCAGCUUGUUGGUGGGGUAGUGGCUUACCAAGGCUUUGACGGGUAGCCGGCCUGAGAGGGUGACCGGCCACAUUGGGACUGAGAUACGGCCCAGACUCCUACGGGAGGCAGCAGUGGGGAAUACUGCACAAUGGGCGGAAGCCUGAUGCAGCAACGCCGCGUGCGGGAUGACGGCCUUCGGGUUGUAAACCGCUUUCGCCUGUGACGAAGCGUGAGUGACGGUAAUGGGUAAAGAAGCACCGGCUAACUACGU
RNAcentral lists this ribosomal RNA (467 nucleotides) under uncultured bacterium. Its description in RNAcentral is "partial 16S ribosomal RNA". It matches the Rfam family "Bacterial small subunit ribosomal RNA", at positions 28 to 506 of the family's 1533-position model. The record is from RNAcentral.